Molecule: small nuclear RNA, 159 nt
Filed under: Rhinolophus ferrumequinum (greater horseshoe bat)
Lineage: Eukaryota; Metazoa; Chordata; Mammalia; Chiroptera; Rhinolophidae
Description: U2 spliceosomal RNA (ENSRFEG00010008676.1)
Rfam family: U2 spliceosomal RNA
About the family: U2 is a small nuclear RNA (snRNA) component of the spliceosome (involved in pre-mRNA splicing). Complementary binding between U2 snRNA (in an area lying towards the 5' end but 3' to hairpin I) and the branchpoint sequence (BPS) of the intron results the bulging out of an unpaired adenosine, on the BPS, which initiates a nucleophilic attack at the intronic 5' splice site, thus starting the first of two transesterification reactions that mediate splicing.
Source: RNAcentral
AUCGCUUCUCGGCCAUUUGGCUAAGAUCAAGUGUAAAAUGUGUAUACAUUUUUUGGGCACCCUCUUUAUAUAAAUAAUUUCACUGGUUUUGUUCUUCAUAGGGCCGCUCAGUGAAAAAUGUCCUUUGGCCUGUCCUCCUUCCCUUCAGGUAUUUCAAUU